This 799-nucleotide ribosomal RNA is filed under the name uncultured Proteiniphilum sp. RNAcentral describes it as "bacterial SSU rRNA". It matches the Rfam family "Bacterial small subunit ribosomal RNA", at positions 8 to 795 of the family's 1533-position model. The record is from RNAcentral. Lineage: Bacteria; Pseudomonadati; Bacteroidota; Bacteroidia; Bacteroidales; Dysgonomonadaceae.
AGAGUUUGAUUAUGGCUCAGGAUGAACGCUAGCGAUAGGCCUAACACAUGCAAGUCGAGGGGCAGCACAUGAAGUAGCAAUACGGAUGGUGGCGACCGGCGCACGGGUGAGUAACGCGUAUGCAACCUGCCUACAACAGGGGAAUAACCCGUUGAAAGACGGACUAAUACCUCAUAACACAGGGAUCCCGCAUGGGAAUAUUUGUUAAAGAUUUAUCGGUUGUAGAUGGGCAUGCGUUCCAUUAGCUGGUUGGUGAGGUAACGGCUCACCAAGGCAACGAUGGAUAGGGGAACUGAGAGGUUUAUCCCCCACACUGGUACUGAGACACGGACCAGACUCCUACGGGAGGCAGCAGUGAGGAAUAUUGGUCAAUGGACGCAAGUCUGAACCAGCCACGUCGCGUGAAGGAAGACGGCCCUACGGGUUGUAAACUUCUUUUGUAAGGGAAUAAAGUGCAGUACGUGUACUGUUUUGCAUGUACCUUACGAAUAAGGAUCGGCUAACUCCGUGCCAGCAGCCGCGGUAAUACGGAGGAUCCGAGCGUUAUCCGGAUUUAUUGGGUUUAAAGGGUGCGCAGGCGGGAGAUUAAGUCGGCGGUGAAAUUUUGCAGCUCAACUGUAAAAGUGCCUUCGAAACUGGUUUUCUUGAGUGUGGAUGAAGUAGGCGGAAUUUGUGGUGUAGCGGUGAAAUGCAUAGAUAUCACGAGGAACUCCGAUUGCGCAGGCAGCUUACUAAACCAUAACUGACGCUCAGGCACGAAGGCGUGGGGAUCAAACAGGAUUAGAUACCCUGGGUAGUC